RNAcentral lists this small nuclear RNA (20 nucleotides) under Arabidopsis thaliana (thale cress). RNAcentral describes it as "snRNA_10646". The record is from RNAcentral. Lineage: Eukaryota; Viridiplantae; Streptophyta; Magnoliopsida; Brassicales; Brassicaceae.
AGAUCUUUCUAGCAUCUCCU